RNAcentral lists this ribosomal RNA (254 nucleotides) under uncultured bacterium. Its description in RNAcentral is "partial 16S ribosomal RNA". It matches the Rfam family "Bacterial small subunit ribosomal RNA", at positions 524 to 776 of the family's 1533-position model. The record is from RNAcentral.
UACGUAGGGUCCAAGCGUUAUCCGGAAUUACUGGGCGUAAAGCGUCUGUAGGCGGCUUUUCAAGUCGGGUGCGAAAUCUUGCGGCUCAACCGUAUAGACUGUGCCCGAAACUGAUUGGCUAGAGGUAGGUAGAGGCAAGUGGAAUUUCUGGUGUAGGAGUGACAUCCGUAGAUAUCAGAAGGAACACCAAUGGCGAAGGCAGCUUGCUGGGCCUUACCUGACGCUCAGAGACGAAAGCGUGGGGAGCGAACGGG